AGAGUUUGAUCCUGGCUCAGGACGAACGCUGGCGGCGUGCUUAACACAUGCAAGUGGAGCGACGAACCAGGGCUUGCCCUGGGGCAGAGCCGCGAACGGGUGAGUAACACGUGGGUAACGUGCCCCAAUGAUCGGGACAACCCGGGGAAACCCGGGCUAAUACCGAAUGUGCUCCCCUCACACCAGUGAGGGAUGGAAAGGAAGCUUCGGCCUCCGCAUUGGGAUCGGCCCGCGGCCCAUUAGCUUGUUGGUGAGGUAACGGCUCACCAAGGCUCCGAUCCGUAGCUGGUCUGAGAGGACGAUCAGCCACACUGGGACUGAGACACGGCCCAGACUCCUACGGGAGGCAGCAGUAGGGAAUCUUGCACAAUGGGCGCAAGCCUGAUGCAGCGACGCCGCGUGCGGGAAGACGGCCUUCGGGUUGUAAACCGCUUUCAGGAGGGACGAAGCCACUCGGGUUAAUAGCCCAGAGGGUGACGGUACCUCCAGAAGAAGCCCCGGCUAACUACGUGCCAGCAGCGGCGGUAAUAC
RNAcentral lists this ribosomal RNA (531 nucleotides) under uncultured bacterium. RNAcentral's name for it is "bacterial SSU rRNA". It matches the Rfam family "Bacterial small subunit ribosomal RNA", at positions 8 to 526 of the family's 1533-position model. The record is from RNAcentral.